AUUACCUACGGGGGGCAGCAGUGAGGAAUAUUGGUCAAUGGGCGGAAGCCUGAACCAGCCAAGUCGCGUGAGGGAAUAAGGCCCUACGGGUCGUAAACCUCUUUUGCCGGGGAGCAAGGGCCGGGACGCGUCCCGGCCCGGAGAGUACCCGGAGAAAAAGCAUCGGCUAGCUCCGGGCCAGCAGCCGCGGUAAUAAGGAGGAUGCGAGCGUUAUCGGGAUUUAUUGGGUUUAAAG
RNAcentral lists this ribosomal RNA (235 nucleotides) under uncultured bacterium. RNAcentral describes it as "partial 16S ribosomal RNA". It matches the Rfam family "Bacterial small subunit ribosomal RNA", at positions 334 to 565 of the family's 1533-position model. The record is from RNAcentral.